AAAGACAAUGGCACGCUCUAACUUGUAUUAGACCACUGAAUCUAUAGAACACAAAGGAGCCUGAGAAACGGCUACCACAUCCAAGGAAGGCAGCAGGCGCGCAAAUUACCCACUCCCGACCCGGGGAGGUAGUGAC
RNAcentral lists this non-coding RNA (136 nucleotides) under Aptenodytes forsteri (emperor penguin). RNAcentral describes it as "Eukaryotic small subunit ribosomal RNA". It matches the Rfam family "Eukaryotic small subunit ribosomal RNA", at positions 61 to 471 of the family's 1831-position model. The record is from Rfam by way of RNAcentral. Lineage: Eukaryota; Metazoa; Chordata; Aves; Sphenisciformes; Spheniscidae.